This 403-nucleotide ribosomal RNA is filed under the name uncultured bacterium. RNAcentral describes it as "bacterial SSU rRNA". It matches the Rfam family "Bacterial small subunit ribosomal RNA", at positions 356 to 773 of the family's 1533-position model. The record is from RNAcentral.
GGGGAAUAUUGCACAAUGGGCGCAAGCCUGAUGCAGCAACGCCGCGUGAAGGAAGAAGGCUUUCGGGUUGUAAACUUCUUUUGGCAGGGACGAAAAAAAUGACGGUACCUGCAGAAUAAGCUCCGGCUAACUACGUGCCAGCAGCCGCGGUAAUACGUAGGGAGCAAGCGUUAUCCGGAUUUACUGGGUGUAAAGGGAGCGUAGGCGGGAAUGCAAGUCAGAUGUGAAAUCUGAGGGCUCAACCCUCAAACUGCAUUUGAAACUGUGUUUCUUGAGUGGUGGAGAGGCAAGUGGAAUUCCUAGUGUAGCGGUGAAAUGCGUAGAUAUUAGGAGGAACACCAGUGGCGAAGGCGACUUGCUGGACACUAACUGACGCUGAGGCUCGAAAGCGUGGGGAGCAAAC